AUACUCACCUGGCAGGGAGGAUGCCAUGAUCACAAGGGUGGCUUUCUCAGGACGAAGCUUAUCCAUUGCACUUCGGAUGUGCUGGCCCCUGGGAUUUCCCCAAAUGUGGGAAACUCAACUGCUUAAUUUGUGGUAGGAGACUGUGUUUCCACUCUCCCCUA
Molecule: small nuclear RNA, 161 nt
Organism: Pipistrellus kuhlii (Kuhl's pipistrelle)
Lineage: Eukaryota; Metazoa; Chordata; Mammalia; Chiroptera; Vespertilionidae
Product: U1 spliceosomal RNA
Exons: 1
Source: RefSeq, a predicted model, not a curated record